Long non-coding RNA from Gasterosteus aculeatus aculeatus (three-spined stickleback), 1332 nucleotides. The record is from Ensembl. Lineage: Eukaryota; Metazoa; Chordata; Actinopteri; Perciformes; Gasterosteidae.
GGGAGCCCAGACGAGCCGGGUGGAGCCCAGAGGAGCCCAGAGGAGCCCAGAGGAGCCCCAGAGGAGCCUGGUGGAGCCGGGUGGAGCCGGGUGGAAUGUAUCGAGGACUGAGAGAGCAUCAAAUGCAGUUUCAUGUUGUGACUUAAUUUUCCCCGUCAGAACAGAACGGCCGGCUGUGUGUCGCACGCACACGGACACACACACACACACACAUGCUCUCUCACACACACACACACACACACAGGCCUGCAGGCUGUGUGGUUUCCUCACAAGUUUUCCGUCACGUCACAAGAAUGUAAUAUUUAAUUUCUUCCCUUGUUGAACUCGUCAACAAUGAGAUUAAUCCAUAAGUGUUUUGUUUUUUUUACUUUAAAAUAUGGAAAUUAUGGCUAGAAAUCUGGUGCACUUUAUUUCCAGCGUCCACUCAAUGCAGAUGUGCGUUCGGACGGACCCACAAACACGUCGUUGUCAGUGUCACCGUCUUCAUCUUCCUCCACGUGGAGUAUUGUUAUUAAUAUUGCGUUGUCCUUUCAACUGACUCUAAUAGGAGUCCAUUCAUUUCAUUUUGUCGUCCUUGUCCUGAAGUUGACGUGUGAGACAAAGAUAAGAAAAGAAGACGUCGGGCUCGGUGGUUUGCGGUCUUGUGGUUGGGGGGGUCAAAGGUCGACGCAAACGCACAGAGAUGAACUCUGUGGCUUCGUUUGGUGGUUCUCCUCUGGCAGCGAUGGACGUCAGAAUGGACACUGAAAAAAACCAAAUGUGAGUUUAAAGAAAAGAUGUGAAUGUUUCUUGUGGAGUUAUUUCAUGGCGAAGAGAUGCUGAAAAGAGAUUGCCACUUUAAUCGUUGAAAUACUGUCAUUACUAUGAGUAUUAAUAUUAUGUUUGUGUUGAGAUGUGAUACACGCGUGGUUACAUGUCGUCCGAGUCGACUCGUUUCUUUCCCUUUCUUUUUGCUGCGGGCGGAAGCGUUUGCUCUAUUUAAUAUGAUGUGAUGUGACUUAUUAACAAUGUGAAGAAAAAAAGAUGUGUAUAUAAAAGCAAACCAGCUUUGACAAAUGCAGUUGUAAAUACUGUCCUCACACUGGACUCUGACAGCCGGACACACGGUGCCGCUAACAUGCUAACAGGACGAGCUGCAGCUUCCACCCUCCGACUGCUUCCUUCGCAUUCAUUUCUUUUCUUCCUUUUUGAAAUAAAAAGGAAGACAUUUGAUCACUAAAGCGUCUCCUCUGAGUUUGAGUCCACCCAGGAGGGUGAACAGCUAAAGGGGGGGGGGGGUCUGUGUCGUGUAAAGGUGCUAUGUGAAGCGUUUUGACAUUAAUAAAAUCGUUA